This is a long non-coding RNA of Canis lupus familiaris (dog), 928 nucleotides long. RefSeq lists it as uncharacterized. Lineage: Eukaryota; Metazoa; Chordata; Mammalia; Carnivora; Canidae. The record is from RefSeq and is a predicted model, not a curated record. The transcript has 2 exons.
UCUGGGAAACAUAGUUUUCAGCGUGUCAACCUUGGCAGGACAAGAAGGCUCAAGAAGGAGGAGCACAUAGAUGCUAAGUGCCAAGUUGGCCUCAUCCAGCUGGCAGGAGGAGAUUAAAAAACUUGCAGGGAAUAAAGAAGACCUUGGGAAAAAAAAAAAAAAAAGAAGACCUUGGAUGUAAUGAAGCAAGUGGCCUGUCCUUCUAUGUAUGUCUGGUGACAGGCAGGCCUUUGUGGGCUGGGAGGCAGCUCAGAUGUUACUUUGUACAAAUGCCACUGAAGAGGAGCCAUCUACAGUGAGCAGGUUGUAAGACGACAGAUUGUCAACGGCAGAGUCAUAGCGCCCUACGGCUGGAAGGAGUCUUCUGCUUUUGGAGGGAGGCGGAAUGAUGGUGUCCUGGGCAAUCCUUCCAGACCUGGAGUCUCCACUUAGUCGGAACAAUGGGUCUUCGUGGGCAGCCCGUCCCUCCCGUGGAGCGCGUGGCCGAGGAGGGGUCCGAGGAAGGGCUGUAGGUGAAAAUCCAUCGUUAGGAGGAGGCGCAUCCGAGGAAGGGCUCCUGGGCUCCUGAGGACCCCGGAGCCUCCCUCCAUCUGCUCUCUCCUCCGCACUCCCAGGCGUCUCUAACCUGCAGGCCUCCUGGGGGACGACGUGUUUGCUUUGGCCCAUAAAUCAGUCCCACGGAUCACUUCGGGAAUCGUUAGGCUUUAUCAUGACGCGUUGCCACCUUUGAGGGAAUAAUUGCCCAGUUUGGCCAACUUGGGACCUGCUUCCUUCAUCUUAAUUUCCUCUCUGGGGAUGCCCUAAUUAGUAUUUACUUUCACUUAAAAGAGAGAAAUUUCUUCUGAUGCAAUCAACAGUUUCCCUUGCGUGCCAAGCUUGUUUUAUGAUAUUAAGCAUUUAAAUAAAAAAUUAUAAACGUACCGUGAAA